ACAGAGUCCAAGAGCUUACCAGUUUGCAAAGGAGUCGCAGAAGAACGCUGAAGUUGCUCGAGCCUAUCUGGAGAAGGCGUCUCAACGGAUGAAGAAGUGGGCUGACAAACGCAAAAGGCCAGACCCAUUCAAAGUCGGAGACUUGGUACUCAUCAAGACCGCGACUAGUUACGAACAUUCAGCCGAGUACACCGAGCGCACAAAGGAAGAAAGACAGGAACUAAGCCAACUAACA
Molecule: long non-coding RNA, 235 nt
Filed under: Panax ginseng (ginseng)
Lineage: Eukaryota; Viridiplantae; Streptophyta; Magnoliopsida; Apiales; Araliaceae
Description: long non-coding RNA (PGIN_LNC011764)
Source: RNAcentral